Molecule: long non-coding RNA, 1136 nt
Organism: Triticum urartu
Lineage: Eukaryota; Viridiplantae; Streptophyta; Magnoliopsida; Poales; Poaceae
Source: RefSeq, a predicted model, not a curated record
AAAAGCCCAUGCAUCCAUGAAGCUACUCAAUAUGGAGGUAUCAAGCAACGCAUUUUGCACUCUUUAGUUCCAAGCAGAGAAGAAAGGAGGAGCCAACUUGCUUUGGUCUGUCUGCAGCUUCUGAGGGCAAAGCGUCACACUCCUGCAUUACCAGUUUGAUGAUCGAGGAAGCAGAUCAGACUGCCAAUCUAAGUUUCUGCUAUCUCGAGCUUCUUGUCUGCUGUCUGCUGUAAGGUGGUGCCGAUGAGUUAGAUUGAUCCAACUUGCAGCUGAUUCUCUCUCAUGGUCUUCAGCAGAGGAACCCAUCCUGUGAUUCCUGAUUCCUGAGUAGUUAUUCCCGUCAUUUGAAGAUUUGUUAAGUGAGGCAGCUGCAUUCAUCUCUUGGCUGGUCUUGGACAGAGAAAUUGAUCAUGAGUCCGGUCCUCGUCAGUUGAUUAUGGCUUAACUUUGCUGCUGCUUUCCUUUCUUGGUCUUGGGCAGAUCAUGAGUUCUGUUGGAUACGAGGGCGUAAUGUGAUGCUCGUUGGUUUUGCUGCUUCUUUUUGAGAAACCGGGUUUCGUUGCUUCUAGUUGCACACGAUUGUAUAUUGAAAAAAGAAGGGAACUGUGAUCCAAGUUUCUGUUCUCUCGAGCUUCACUCCCCUGCUGUCUGUUGAGGUGGUGCCAAGAUCGUGAACGGAUUGGUUAGAUUGAUCAGAUUUGCAGCUGAUUUUCUCUCUGGGUCUUCGACGGAGAACAGUUGAAGAUUUAUAAAGUUUUAAGCUGCUUUUGCCUCUUUCUUGGCCUUGAACGGAGGAAUUCAUCAUGAGUAGUACUCACCAGUUCAUGAUUGGUUAAAUUUGCUGCUGAAUAUCUCUCUUGAUCUUCGUGAGAGGAAUUCAUCAUGAAUAGUGGUGUUCGGAAGUCGGUGCAUAGAUCAUCGAUGGCGAAGAAGUGCUACGCCAGGAGUAUACGACGAGUGGCCGGAGUGUCAGGCCCAGGUGUACCAGUUUCCGGUUUUCGAGCGACAGCCAGUAGUUAGUUUAGGUUCACGCUAAAGCGAGAGAGGGAUACGAACUCAUGUACUACAUAGUUCCGCUCUCACUCAUAGUGAUAUCUCUUCUCACGUAUAUCAUUGUUUAGAUUGAUGACGAUGUA